CGCACCAGGCGAGAAACCUUAGCAAUGCGGGAAACCGUGACUGGGCUAUCCCGAGUGCCAGCCGCUAAGGCUGGCUUUUACCCAGAGUAAGAUCCUGGGUGAAUAAGCGGGGGGCAAGACUGGUGUCAGCCGCCGCGGUAAUACCAGCUCCGCGAGUGGUCGGGACGAUUAUUGAGCCUAAAGCGCUCGUAGCCGGUCCGGCAAGUCCUGUGCCAAAUCCAACGGCUUAACCGUUGGGCCGCAUGGGAUACUGCUGGGCUAGGGAGCGGAAGAGGCCAGGGGUACUCCCGGGGUAGGGGCGAAAUCCUAUAAUCCCGGGAGGACGACCAGUGGCGAAGGCGCCUGGCUAGGACGCGUCCGACGGUGAGGGGCGAAAGCUGGGGGAGCGAACCGGAUUAGAUACCCGGGUAGUCCCAGCUGUAAACGAUGCGGAUUGGGUGCCGGUACGGCUUCGAGCCGUAUCGGUGCCUCAGGGAAGCCGUUAAAUCCGCCGCUUGGGGAGUACGGUCGCAAGACUGAAACUUAAAGGAAUUGGCGGGGGAGCACCACAAGGGGUGAAGCCUGCGGCUCAAUUGGAGUCAGCGCCGGGAACUUUACCGGGGGCGACAGCAGGAUGAAGGCCAAGCUGAUGACUUUGCCCGACGCGCUGAGAGGUGGCGCAUGGCCGUCGCCAGCUCGUGCCGUGAGGUGUCUGGUUAAGUCCAGGAACGAGCGAGACCCUCACCUCUAGUUGCUACCGCGUAAGCGGGCACACUAGAGGGACCGCCACCGCUAAGGUGGAGGAGGGAGGGGGCAACGGCAGGUCAGCAUGCCCCGAAUCCCCCGGGCCGCACGCGGGCUGCAAUGGUGGAGACAAUGGGUUCCAAACCCGAAAGGGGGAGGCAAGCCUUGAAACUCCACCGUAGUUGGGAUCGAGGGCUGCAACCCGCCCUCGUGAACCUGGAAUCCCCAGUAAUCGCGUGUCAUCAUCGCGCGGUGAACACGU
Molecule: ribosomal RNA, 985 nt
Filed under: uncultured crenarchaeote
Lineage: Archaea; Thermoproteati; Thermoproteota
Description: bacterial SSU rRNA
Rfam family: Archaeal small subunit ribosomal RNA
Source: RNAcentral